UGACUUGCCCAAGGUCAUACAGGUGGAAAGUGAUAGAACCAGGAUAUGAACUAAAGUCAUAGGAGCAUAUACUUUGGACUAGAAGUGACUGUAGAGGUCAUCUAUUCUAACUUCUUUUUUUUUCAGAAGAGUAAGCUGAGUCCCAGAGAGAAGAAGCAAUUUCCCUAUGGUCACCCAGCUGGAUUAUACCACCACCUCAUGGGGUUGUCAUCUGGGGAGCUAAGAAGGCAGAGAUUGUAACCCUUAAUAUUCCCUGAAUAUAUAUCCAUCGCAAAUGCUGAAUGUAAAAAGUAUAUGAAGAUUGUUACCCAUACAGGUAGGAAUAAUCAUUAUGACCUCAUCCUUUUCAAAGAGUAAUAACAGUAACAAGAAGA
This 374-nucleotide long non-coding RNA is filed under the name Monodelphis domestica (gray short-tailed opossum). RNAcentral's name for it is "lncRNA (ENSMODG00000051412.1)". The record is from RNAcentral. Lineage: Eukaryota; Metazoa; Chordata; Mammalia; Didelphimorphia; Didelphidae.